GGGCAAGAUGGGUGAAGUUAGCUAACCGGCGAGCCGGUCAUCUAUCUUCACUCCCCCUUAUUCGCACCUGGCGGUGCUCAACGGGCAUCUUGCUCUGCGAGGCU
This is a regulatory RNA element of Rhizobium sp. LC145, 104 nucleotides long. It matches the Rfam family "traJ-II RNA". Lineage: Bacteria; Pseudomonadati; Pseudomonadota; Alphaproteobacteria; Hyphomicrobiales; Rhizobiaceae. The record is from Rfam.